This 253-nucleotide ribosomal RNA is filed under the name uncultured bacterium. Its description in RNAcentral is "partial 16S ribosomal RNA". It matches the Rfam family "Bacterial small subunit ribosomal RNA", at positions 524 to 776 of the family's 1533-position model. The record is from RNAcentral.
UACGGGGGGGGUAAGCGUUGUUCGGAAUUACUGGGCGUAAAGGGCUCGUAGGCGGCCAACUAAGUCAGACGUGAAAUCCCUCAGCUUAACUGGGGAACUGCGUCUGAUACUGGAUGGCUUGGAUUUGGGAGAGGGAUGCGGAAUUCCAGGUGUAGCGGUGAAAUGCGUAGAUAUCUGGAGGAACACCGGUGGCGAAGGCGGCUUCCUGGACCGACACUGACGCUGAGGCGCGAAAGCUAGGGGAGCAAACGGG